RNAcentral lists this ribosomal RNA (1411 nucleotides) under Lactiplantibacillus plantarum. RNAcentral describes it as "bacterial SSU rRNA". It matches the Rfam family "Bacterial small subunit ribosomal RNA", at positions 66 to 1443 of the family's 1533-position model. Lineage: Bacteria; Bacillati; Bacillota; Bacilli; Lactobacillales; Lactobacillaceae. The record is from RNAcentral.
ACGAACUCUGGUAUUGAUUGGUGCUUGCAUCAUGAUUUACAUUUGAGUGAGUGGCGAACUGGUGAGUAACACGUGGGAAACCUGCCCAGAAGCGGGGGAUAACACCUGGAAACAGAUGCUAAUACCGCAUAACAACUUGGACCGCAUGGUCCGAGCUUGAAAGAUGGCUUCGGCUAUCACUUUUGGAUGGUCCCGCGGCGUAUUAGCUAGAUGGUGGGGUAACGGCUCACCAUGGCAAUGAUACGUAGCCGACCUGAGAGGGUAAUCGGCCACAUUGGGACUGAGACACGGCCCAAACUCCUACGGGAGGCAGCAGUAGGGAAUCUUCCACAAUGGACGAAAGUCUGAUGGAGCAACGCCGCGUGAGUGAAGAAGGGUUUCGGCUCGUAAAACUCUGUUGUUAAAGAAGAACAUAUCUGAGAGUAACUGUUCAGGUAUUGACGGUAUUUAACCAGAAAGCCACGGCUAACUACGUGCCAGCAGCCGCGGUAAUACGUAGGUGGCAAGCGUUGUCCGGAUUUAUUGGGCGUAAAGCGAGCGCAGGCGGUUUUUUAAGUCUGAUGUGAAAGCCUUCGGCUCAACCGAAGAAGUGCAUCGGAAACUGGGAAACUUGAGUGCAGAAGAGGACAGUGGAACUCCAUGUGUAGCGGUGAAAUGCGUAGAUAUAUGGAAGAACACCAGUGGCGAAGGCGGCUGUCUGGUCUGUAACUGACGCUGAGGCUCGAAAGUAUGGGUAGCAAACAGGAUUAGAUACCCUGGUAGUCCAUACCGUAAACGAUGAAUGCUAAGUGUUGGAGGGUUUCCGCCCUUCAGUGCUGCAGCUAACGCAUUAAGCAUUCCGCCUGGGGAGUACGGCCGCAAGGCUGAAACUCAAAGGAAUUGACGGGGGCCCGCACAAGCGGUGGAGCAUGUGGUUUAAUUCGAAGCUACGCGAAGAACCUUACCAGGUCUUGACAUACUAUGCAAAUCUAAGAGAUUAGACGUUCCCUUCGGGGACAUGGAUACAGGUGGUGCAUGGUUGUCGUCAGCUCGUGUCGUGAGAUGUUGGGUUAAGUCCCGCAACGAGCGCAACCCUUAUUAUCAGUUGCCAGCAUUAAGUUGGGCACUCUGGUGAGACUGCCGGUGACAAACCGGAGGAAGGUGGGGAUGACGUCAAAUCAUCAUGCCCCUUAUGACCUGGGCUACACACGUGCUACAAUGGAUGGUACAACGAGUUGCGAACUCGCGAGAGUAAGCUAAUCUCUUAAAGCCAUUCUCAGUUCGGAUUGUAGGCUGCAACUCGCCUACAUGAAGUCGGAAUCGCUAGUAAUCGCGGAUCAGCAUGCCGCGGUGAAUACGUUCCCGGGCCUUGUACACACCGCCCGUCACACCAUGAGAGUUUGUAACACCCAAAGUCGGUGGGGUAACCUUU